UGAGUGCGAGCUGCUACGGCAGCGAAGUUGGUGAUGUCAUGCUUCCAAGAAAAGCCCUAUACCCGUUAAGGCAUCAUGGCCUGUACCCGAAACCGACACAGGUGGGGUGGUAGAGAAUACCGAGGGGCGCGAGGUAACUCUCUCUAAGGAACUCGGCAAAAUGGCCCCGUAACUUCGGGAGAAGGGGUGCCACCGCAAGGUGGUCGCAGUGAAGAGGCCCAGGCGACUGUUUACCAAAAACACAGGUCUCCGCUAAGUCGCAAGACGAUGUAUGGGGGCUGACGCCUGCCCAGUGCCGGAAGGUUAAGGAAGCUGGUCAGCGCAAGCGAAGCUAGCGACUGAAGCCCCGGUGAACGGCGGCCGUAACAAUAACGGUCCUAAGGUAGCGAAAUUCCUUGUCGGGUAAGUUCCGACCCGCACGAAAGGCGUAACGAUCUGGGCGCUGUCUCGGAGAGAGGCUCGGCGAAAUAGAAUUGUCUGUGAAGAUGCGGACUACGUGCACCCGGACAGAAAGACCCUAUGAAGCUUUACUGUAGCUUGGUAUUGUGCCCGGGCUCGCAAUGCGCAGGAUAGGUGGGAGGCUUUGAUCAUCGGCUUGCGGGUCGAUGUGAGCCAACGGUGAGAUACCACUCUUUGCGAGCUAGGGUUCUAACGGCCACCCGUCAUCCGGGGGCCGGACAGUACCUGGUGGGCAGUUUGACUGGGGCGGUCGCCUCCUAAAAGGUAACGGAGGCGCGCAAAGGUUUGCUCAGGCUGGUUGGAAAUCAGCCGACGAGUGUAAAAGCAGAAGCAAGCUUGACUGUGAGACCAACAAGUCGAACAGGGAGGAAACUCGGCUUUAGUGAUCCGACGGUUCUGAGUGGAAGGGCCGUCGCUCAACGGAUAAAAGUUACUCUAAGGAUAACAGGCUGAUCUCCCCCAAGAGUUCACAUCGACGGGGAGGUUUGGCACCUCGAUGUCGGCUCAUCGCAACCUGGGGCUGAAGUCGGUCCCAAGGGUUGGGCUGUUCGCCCAUUAAAGCGGUACGCGAGCUGGGUUCAGAACGUCGUGAGACAGUUCGGUCCAUAUCCGGUGCACGCGCAGGAAUAUUGAGAGGAUUUCUCCCUAGUACGAGAGGACCGGGAGGAACGCACCUCUGGUGUACCAGUUAUCGUGCCAACGGUAAACGCUGGGUAGCCAUGUGCGGAGUGGAUAACCGCUGAAAGCAUCUAAGUGGGAAGCCCACCUCAAGAUGAGUAUUCCCAUGGCGUAAGCCAGUAAGGUCACGGGAAGAACACCCGUUGAUAGGCUCUAUGUGGAAGCGCAGUAAUGCGUGAAGCAGAGGAGUACUAAUAGACCGAGGGCUUGACC
RNAcentral lists this ribosomal RNA (1350 nucleotides) under metagenome. RNAcentral's name for it is "bacterial LSU rRNA". It matches the Rfam family "Bacterial large subunit ribosomal RNA", at positions 1564 to 2925 of the family's 2925-position model. The record is from RNAcentral.